Molecule: ribosomal RNA, 258 nt
Filed under: Salmonella enterica subsp. enterica serovar Thompson
Lineage: Bacteria; Pseudomonadati; Pseudomonadota; Gammaproteobacteria; Enterobacterales; Enterobacteriaceae
Also listed under: 1 other name
Description: partial 16S ribosomal RNA
Rfam family: Bacterial small subunit ribosomal RNA
Source: RNAcentral
AAAUUGAAGAGUUUGAUCAUGGCUCAGAUUGAACGCUGGCGGCAGGCCUAACACAUGCAAGUCGAACGGUAACAGGAAGCAGCUUGCUGCUUUGCUGACGAGUGGCGGACGGGUGAGUAAUGUCUGGGAAACUGCCUGAUGGAGGGGGAUAACUACUGGAAACGGUGGCUAAUACCGCAUAACGUCGCAAGACCAAAGAGGGGGACCUUCGGGCCUCUUGCCAUCAGAUGUGCCCAGAUGGGAUUAGCUAGUUGGUGA